CCAGAGGCUCCUUGGACCUUUCAAGGCCACCAGGAUGAGGCAAGAAGCCAAGAAGGUUCCUUUCGGCCUUAUAUAAUGGAUGUCUUGAACUCGGUUCCUCAAACUGCGCAGUGUGUUCUUGUCUGCCCUGAAAGCCUGCGAUUUCUCAGCUGCUAGUCUUCCAAAGCUGUCUCUCCAUACAAAAGGCAUUCCAAUGGAGCAGAGCUUGUUUCUUGGUAAUCGAAGGCCACGUCUGCUUCAGGUCUGGCUACUUACAUUCUGCUUUCUUCUUUGCUUCGGGACUGGAGCAGAUGCUGUGAAAUGCAGAAAAUGCCUGUCAACUGGUCCUGGCAAGCCAUGUAAACCAAAAGAUUUGACAUGUAAUGGGCCAUACUGUGUAAUGACAGAAAGAUUGGCAGGUCCAAAUAAGCAGUUGCAGACCCUCAAAUUUUGUGGCGAAGCUCAGUAUAAAAAAUUCUGCGGAACGAAAAAGGGAGAUAAAUUUAAAGUGCAAUGCUGUGAAACUGACAUGUGUUUUGACUGAUUUUACUGUUCUAUUCUUCUAUUGUUUUAACCCAUCCAGAAACCUCAUGGUAAAGGGUGGGUAGCCAAUCUUUCUCCUUCUCUUUCACUUUUCUCCUUUGAAAAACAUAAUAUUAGAACAUUUCAUAUCCUUUGCUUUUGACGGAUGUCUGGUCUUCCUCCUGCCAUUGCAAUUCAAAUGACAGAGCAAACACAGAAAAGGAACAAACCCCAAUUGUCACAACUUUGGUUGUUUAGGCAUUGGGUAGCCUUAGCCUUGGUUGGAGGGGGGGUUGUCCCCUGGCCUUCCACUCAAGAAAUAGGGUAUGCUGUUAAAGGGGUCCAUGAUGGAGUUGCUUCUGUCCAUUUGCCCAGAUGGGGGGAAGGGCUUGGGCCUCAGCGUUCCUAGGGGUGGGGAUCCCUGCAGGGAUCCCCCUCUUUGAUGUAAGUCAUGGGACUCCCCACUGCCGGGUUGACCCUGAUGUCAUUUCCGGUAGGCAGACCGGAAAUAAAUGCUUACCCAAUGCCUAUAGCCAAACCACUUCAUCUGUAGUCAAUAAAGUUGUGGCCUGAUUUGAUCUCAUUCCACUGUGUGGCCUCCUUUAUUGGUAGCUCACCUGAGCAGAGGAAGGGUGCACACCCUGGGCCUGUAGACUCCGGGAAGCUUCCAAGAGAAUAUAAAAAUACAUAAAACCAUCUGACAUUGAAAACUUCUCGAUACAGGACUGCCUUCAAAUGUCUCAAGGUCAGUCCUUAAUUGCCUUGUUAGAGCAUCCCAACCGAUACUCACAGUCAGGAUGGUCAGGGGGGAGGCUGGAGCCACUUCCAUCCAGACUCUCCUAGGUCAUGCCCAUCAGAUUCUUAAUUCAUCUCUUCCUGGAGCUCAUGGGUCACUGUUCUUCCCAACCCCUCCCUGGUUGUAGAGCUCAAAUGUUCUCUUUUCUCUUUCCUGACCUUUGCCAUGUAAUUGGAACAUAGCAAGGCUUUUAAGUAGUUUGGACUGGAGGGAGUUUUAGGUGGCCAAUCAAGAUAGAGAUCAAUAAUAAUAGUUAAAAUUACUGCUAAUUUUGCAUGCAGAAAAAA
This is a long non-coding RNA of Podarcis raffonei (Aeolian wall lizard), 1584 nucleotides long. RefSeq lists it as uncharacterized. The transcript has 3 exons. NCBI's taxonomy places the organism in Eukaryota, Metazoa, Chordata, Lepidosauria, Squamata, Lacertidae. The record is from RefSeq and is a predicted model, not a curated record.